Molecule: RNA transcript, 997 nt
Organism: Limulus polyphemus (Atlantic horseshoe crab)
Lineage: Eukaryota; Metazoa; Arthropoda; Merostomata; Xiphosura; Limulidae
Gene: AIMP3
Gene name: eukaryotic translation elongation factor 1 epsilon-1-like
Exons: 7
Source: RefSeq, a predicted model, not a curated record
UGCUUCAGUCAAACGUAACAAGAAGAACUCACAGUCUGCAUGCGACAAAUAAAGUGUAAUUACUACCAUGAAAAACAACACAAUACUAAAACAGUAAGUAAAUCUGUGGGUUAAUUAAUGUACUAAAUCAGCUAGAAACUUCGAGACGAAUAAGGAACAGUGAAUUGUAACUAACUUCAGGAAACAAAUAAGUAACCGAAAAUAUAAACAACUUCACCUGGGUUCCAGUGCAGAAGAAUAUCUGAAUUUUGUUUUUCAUUUACUAAUAAGAGUAUACAAUGUUAUGUUUUGAGGAAUUUCAGUCAUUAGCUAACUUCCUUGGAGUAGAGAAGCCAAAUGUAUUUGUUGACGAACAAUGGAAGAGACCUUGUGUGGAAACAUCAGCUGGAAAACAACUGUGUGGUCUGGUCUCCAUUUCCAAAUACUUAACAGAUAAAAGUCACCAGCGAAGUCUUCUUGGUACAAAUAUUGAAGAGUCCUCCUUGAUCAAUCAGUGGCUGGAGUACAGAACUGUGUAUAUUAAUCAGGUCCACCAGAAGAGUGAUAUGGUGAGAGUGUUAGAGGAUCUGGACUUAGUUCUUCAGAAGAAGGUGUAUUUUGUAGGUAAUAGGUUGACUCUUGCUGACAUUAGUAUCUACUAUGGUCUUCACAGAAUCUUUGCCAGCAAAAUUCUGGAAUUGGAUAUGGUGGUGACAGGAAGUUCCUACAGUAACGGAUAGCAUAAGCAAUCGAGGUAAGUUUGACAUUCCAAGAAAAAGAAAAAUAUCUACAUUUAUCUCGUUGGUUUAAUCAGGUCCAGCAUGUGCCUGAAGUAAGACAGACCUUACCAGUGGUGGUGUUUAGUAAAAGUAGAUUAUACAAGACUACUACACUUUAGCUUUGCAUCCAUGCUUGCUGUGUUUCCAUUGAGGUGGAAAAUUAAUGAGGAACACUUCAGUUCUGUAUGAUGUAAGCUGUAUUUUAAGUAUGCAAAAUAAAAUAUGUAUUAUAAACUUGA